Molecule: long non-coding RNA, 294 nt
Organism: Sitophilus oryzae (rice weevil)
Lineage: Eukaryota; Metazoa; Arthropoda; Insecta; Coleoptera; Curculionidae
Exons: 3
Source: RefSeq, a predicted model, not a curated record
CAAAAAAGAAAUACUCAGUAUUCAAUCUUGGUUGAUUUGCAAAACGUUGAAAAUGAAAUUCGCCAUCAUUUUUACCCUAUUGCUAGCUCUCUUCGCUACCGUUUUUGCUCAGCACCAGCCGCUAGGAGCCAACAAAUGCACUAGAGGUCCAGCUUAUUGGUGCCAAGACAGAGCAACUGCUACUUCUUGUAAUGCCCUUGAGCAUUGCGAGUCUAAAGUUUGGAACAAACAAGGUUAAGGAAAAAUUCAGUUGCUUUGUAAUAGCCAUGUGAAAAUAAAGAUGUUUACAAAAUA